This 524-nucleotide ribosomal RNA is filed under the name Pseudomonas sp. C06A. Its description in RNAcentral is "bacterial SSU rRNA". It matches the Rfam family "Bacterial small subunit ribosomal RNA", at positions 8 to 526 of the family's 1533-position model. The record is from RNAcentral. Lineage: Bacteria; Pseudomonadati; Pseudomonadota; Gammaproteobacteria; Pseudomonadales; Pseudomonadaceae.
AGAGUUUGAUCCUGGCUCAGAUUGAACGCUGGCGGCAGGCCUAACACAUGCAAGUCGAGCGGUAGAGAGAAGCUUGCUUCUCUUGAGAGCGGCGGACGGGUGAGUAAUGCCUAGGAAUCUGCCUGGUAGUGGGGGAUAACGUUCGGAAACGGACGCUAAUACCGCAUACGUCCUACGGGAGAAAGCAGGGGACCUUCGGGCCUUGCGCUAUCAGAUGAGCCUAGGUCGGAUUAGCUAGUUGGUGAGGUAAUGGCUCACCAAGGCGACGAUCCGUAACUGGUCUGAGAGGAUGAUCAGUCACACUGGAACUGAGACACGGUCCAGACUCCUACGGGAGGCAGCAGUGGGGAAUAUUGGACAAUGGGCGAAAGCCUGAUCCAGCCAUGCCGCGUGUGUGAAGAAGGUCUUCGGAUUGUAAAGCACUUUAAGUUGGGAGGAAGGGCAGUUGCCUAAUACGUAACUGUUUUGACGUUUACCGACAGAAUAAGCACCGGCUAACUCUGUGCCAGCAGCCGCGGUAAUAC